Non-coding RNA from Caenorhabditis elegans, 296 nucleotides. Lineage: Eukaryota; Metazoa; Nematoda; Chromadorea; Rhabditida; Rhabditidae. The record is from Ensembl.
GAUAAAUAAGUACUAAUAAAAUAGCAACACCUCGCAGGCAUUGAAUAUCUUGUCUCAUUUUUGUUGAGAAAGUGGGGAAAUUAUUUUGACCCUCUGCACCUUUAUACAAAUUGUAAUCUGGGACAGUGUUGCGUUGACUUGAAAAGAAUUAUGCAAAUUGCGACAUGAUGUAACAGAGAUGGCUUCGUUGAUUUUCUGGGUCAAUAGUUUUUUUCCCUAAGGAAAGCUUUUAUAGUCUGAGACAAAUGAUCUUUAAGUUCAAACAACAAACUUUAAUUGUCAUUCAAAAUACGAUU